AUUGAACGCUGGCGGCAUGCCUUACACAUGCAAGUCGAACGGGGGUAGCAAUACCCUAGUGGCGGACGGGUGAGUAAUGUAUCGGAACGUGCCCUUGAGUGGGGGAUAACCAGUCGAAAGAUUGGCUAAUACCGCAUACGAUCUACGGAUGAAAGUGGGGGACCUUAGGGCCUCAUGCUCGUGGAGCGGCCGAUAUCUGAUUAGCUAGUUGGUGGGGUAAAGGCCUACAAAGGCGACGAUCAGUAGCUGGUCUGAGAGGACGAUCAGCCACACUAGGACUGAGACACGGCGCAGCCUCCUACGGGAGGCAGCAGUGGGGCAGGUUGGAACAUGGGGGAAACCCUGAUCCAGCGAUGCCGCGUGAGUGAAGAAGGCCUUCGGGUUGUAAAGCUCCUUUGUCAGGGAAGAAGAUGCUAUGGCUAAUAUCCAUGGUUGAUGACGGUACCUGAAGAAUAAGCACCGGCUAACUACGUGCCAGCCGCCGCCGUAA
RNAcentral lists this ribosomal RNA (490 nucleotides) under uncultured bacterium. RNAcentral's name for it is "partial 16S ribosomal RNA". It matches the Rfam family "Bacterial small subunit ribosomal RNA", at positions 30 to 523 of the family's 1533-position model. The record is from RNAcentral.